AAGCCCAUGUCUCCCCCAAAGAAUUCCCAAAACCAGCUUCAAUACCCACAUGACCGACCCAAACCGGAUCCCACAUGAAAGCACCUCUUCCAUGACCUAGCCCCAAUUCGUGACGCUGGAAUUCUCUCCCAAUUCACCUACGCCGCCAUGAAAUCUCACCAUCGCCUUCAAUGUUUUUCCCAAGACCGGAUUUCAAAUGAAACAAAAUACAACGGCGUAACGAUAAUACUCUCUCGAAGCUCACGAAAUCAGAAUAUCGAGAGGAGAAGAGACCUACCGGAUUCGAUGUGUCGUUGAUGUUCAUCGUUCUUCAAUCACAGUGUACUGAAGAUGAAUGACAAAGGUUCCGUUCGCGUGUAAGCUUCGUAUUCAUGAUGAAGAUGAACAUGUUGUUGAUGACGAAGAGUGGCUUCGAUUCGUGCCAUGUAUUUGUUGAGAUAAUCUACUUCGAAACUCCCUUGGUCAAUUGGAAAUUCAUAAUCUCAUGGCUGCAACAGGUUGUUGAAAUGAGCAUUGUCCAUGGACCAAAUUACAUUCCUUUUUCUGUUUAAGUUAAGGAGCAACCUUCAUAUGCAAUUCAAGAGGUUGUGAAGUUGAAUAUUAUCCUUGUGAAUGUAAUUUUUGUUGUAAUUUUGGAAUGUAAAUGGUUUUGGAUUGCCCAUGGAAUUUUGAUUGGAUUUGGACAUGACUAUUUUUGUAAUGUAAAGUUUAUGUUGAAUUUGAAAUGAUGUGUGGUUAUGUAUGGAAUGGAUGUUUAUAAUGGUUGUAAUUUUGUUGUAAAAAUGAAUAUGAGGUUGAAUGGAAUGUGGAUGCAUAGGUAGUUAGAGGUAGAAGUAUUAGAAUUUUUAAGAAGUACCAAGUUAGGAUGUAAGGCAAAAUGUCAGUAGUAAUUAACUUGAAUUUAAAUGUUUUUUGCCUUUGGUUUUAAACCACUUUUGCCUUGAAUUUUUGGUGAAUUGUCCCAUGACUUUAAGUGCCUUUGAGAAGUGAUUUUGUAUUUCAAAAAAGCAUUAUUGAAUGGUGGAAAUGUAGGGAUCAAAUUCUGAUUUUUGGGCA
Molecule: long non-coding RNA, 1056 nt
Organism: Lathyrus oleraceus (garden pea)
Lineage: Eukaryota; Viridiplantae; Streptophyta; Magnoliopsida; Fabales; Fabaceae
Exons: 2
Source: RefSeq, a predicted model, not a curated record